CUUGAUAUAUUCCAGCUUGUAAUCUACUCUUAAACUAUAAAAUUCAGUAAGUGCAAUUUUCUGCCACUUUAACACUUUUGGUGUUGCAAUGCGGUAUAAUACACCUAAAUAGAAUUAACUAGACUGGGAGUGGGAAGACGUAUACAAAAUGGGGACCAGCCAACGCCCUGUUGGAAGAUAACUUAUCAAGUGAUCAACAAGGCUUGAUAAACCACGUGUUUUCCAGCACCUUUUUAUACGAAUUGAACAGGUGAUCUUCUUUUGUCUUGUUCAGCUUGUGAUAUAUUGUUGCAUGUGGAAAUUAUACUCACACAUAUAAACAUAUCACUGAUUUAUUGGAUCCAAAUCAAAGAAAAAUACAGGUAAAAAUUAAAUGGAAUACAUAGUACUGAACCCCAUCACCCUUGAUUUUAUUUAUGUAAUCAUUUCUCAAAUCUGGGCUUCCUUUAAGAUACAAGAAGAUAUAAAAACAGUUGUUUAUGUCUGAAAACUUGACAGAGGAAUGUGUUUCUACUAUGGUCUAUGAAGGAUGUGAAGCAUCUUUUAUUACAGGGAUUGUCAAAUAGGAGGACUGGUGCAACAAGUAUAAAUGCUGAGAUUUCAUGUUCACAUAGUGUAUUUACAUUGUGGUAGAAUCACGAUGCAAGGAAGAAAUGACCGAGCAAUGAGCAAACAAGCAUGAAAAGGUGUUAAUCUUUGGAGAAAACGGGGCUUUAAAGCAUAAGGAAAACACCCAAGGGGACACCGGAGAACAAAGGAGCAGAACGAAGGCGUGGAGGUCAAUUUGAAGAACUCACCUGACACUCACACCGUGAGUGUCAGCGUGAGUCCUCAGUGUGGUUUCUGAUCAGAAACUCACGUUGAGACUCACGUGUGAGUCUCAGCGUGAGUGCUGAUCAGAAACUGAUCAUUGAACUCACACUGACACUCACACCGUGAGUGUCAGCGUGAGUCCCACCGUGACUUCCUAUCCUGGAGGCUACGAAAUGGCGCAAAUUUUAGACUAUAAA
Molecule: long non-coding RNA, 1010 nt
Organism: Ipomoea triloba (trilobed morning glory)
Lineage: Eukaryota; Viridiplantae; Streptophyta; Magnoliopsida; Solanales; Convolvulaceae
Exons: 3
Source: RefSeq, a predicted model, not a curated record